RNAcentral lists this ribosomal RNA (330 nucleotides) under uncultured eukaryote. RNAcentral describes it as "partial 18S ribosomal RNA". It matches the Rfam family "Eukaryotic small subunit ribosomal RNA", at positions 1470 to 1796 of the family's 1831-position model. The record is from RNAcentral.
CCCUUAGAUGUCCUGGGCCGCACGCGCGCUACACUGAUGAAUUCAACGAGCUCCUAACCUAGGCCGAAGGGUCCGGGUAAUCUUUGAAAUUUCAUCGUGAUGGGGAUAGAUUAUUGCAAUUAUUAAUCUUCAACGAGGAAUUCCUAGUAAGCGCGAGUCAUCAGCUCGCGUUGAUUACGUCCCUGCCCUUUGUACACACCGCCCGUCGCUCCUACCGAUUGAAUGGUCCGGUGAAAUGUUCGGACCGCGACAAGGCGGACGGUUCGCUGUCAGCUUUGCUGCGGGAAGUUCAUUAAACCUUAUCAUUUAGAGGAAGGAGAAGUCGUANCA